UUGAGGAAACAAAAAAUUAUGCUCGAAGUGUCGAGAAAGUUUAAUUGAUUUUCAGAAUGACCUAGGAACUUUUGGCUCAAUCAACCAUCCUGUGUAUCAGAAGGGAUUACUGAAGUGUCUACAUACUCGGUCAAAUCAGUAAUUGAAGGAUCAUCCCAUUGAGAUUAUAAACUAUCUGUCGUUUCUAUACUCUAGUCUAUAUGAUCGAAAUAUAUCGGAUUUCCAGUGGUGGUACACAUUGAUCGUGUUACAUGUGCCUAGAAAUGGGAGAUGUUCUUUCGGUAGUACGAGUAUAGUACACAGCAUACACAACAUACAUAGCAUACACAGAGCAUGCAUAGAGCAUGCACAGAGCAUGCACAGAUAGAGAAAGAGAGAAAAAGAGAGAAAACCAAAAGAAAUCAUGAAAAGAGGAGAGCGUUGAGUGUUAACAAGGGUGGGCAAAAAGAGAAGGGCUCGUACAACGCUUGGUGUGAAAGAUAUGAAGUGGUCAAUUGGUUGAAGAGCCCGUUGCUUCUUUCAUGCCACAACGGAUACGUGAAUCAUUUGGUGUUAACAAAGGAAAUAGUACAUGGGGAGGAAAUAAGCCAAGUGAAACGAGAUUGAACAUUUCACCUGAAUGAUUUAAAUCCAACUCCUAUUCUUUUUCGCUCGUUCAAUGAACGUAAUUAGAUCCGACAAUUAGAGACGACAGGUCGAUUAAUUUCAAGGACGCAACUCAGCCACGUUCAUUGUCACGAGAAGUCGAAGGUGUUCGGAGUAGAACAACUACUAUAGAAGUCGAACAAUCGAAGAUGUUCAACUUGAAACUUUGGGGGAGGAAAGGGGGAUUCUAAUUUAACUUGACUUUGUUCGUCUAAAUGGAACUCAAUUCUCUCGAUCGAUCUGCCGAUGAUAUAAUAUCUACGAUAAAAUACAUCCAAAACACUUUUCUUUUAUAAAUUAACUCUAUCUAACUCGAA
This 962-nucleotide long non-coding RNA is filed under the name Polistes fuscatus (common paper wasp). RNAcentral describes it as "uncharacterized LOC122513707". The record is from RNAcentral. Lineage: Eukaryota; Metazoa; Arthropoda; Insecta; Hymenoptera; Vespidae.